GAUGCUGUAGCUCAGCUGGAAGAGCGCUACCCUGACACGGUAGAGGUCAUCGGUUCAAGCCCGGUUAGCAUCACCA
This 76-nucleotide transfer RNA is filed under the name Eubacteriaceae bacterium. RNAcentral describes it as "tRNA-Val". It matches the Rfam family "tRNA". From Rfam's summary of the family: Transfer RNA (tRNA) molecules are approximately 80 nucleotides in length. The record is from RNAcentral. RNAcentral also lists the same sequence under 1 other name. Lineage: Bacteria; Bacillati; Bacillota; Clostridia; Eubacteriales; Eubacteriaceae.